GGAGUGCAGAGAAAUUCCUGGCGGGCGGGGGGAGGAGGAGGAGGGCGGCACGGAGCCACGGCCGCACGCCCCUGCCAGGGACCCUGCGUGCUGUGGCGGCGGCCGGCGCGGAGCCAGACCCCCGAGGGGCGCGGUGCGGGCGGGCUGAGGGCCACUCGCCGCCGCCUCGGGCUCUCGCAGCACCAGGAGCCGCACCGUCCCCGCCGCCGCUGGGACUCCCUCCCCGGGCUGAGAGGGGGAGAAUGACGGAGCUCCAGUCUGCCUUGCUACUGCGGAGACAACUAGCAGAGCUCAACAAAAAUCCAGUGGAAGGCUUUUCAGCGGGCUUAAUAGAUGACAAUGAUCUUUAUCGAUGGGAAGUCCUUAUUAUUGGUCCUCCAGAUACACUAUAUGAAGGUGGUGUUUUCAAGGCUCAUCUUACUUUUCCAAAAGACUAUCCGCUGAGGCCGCCAAAAAUGAAAUUCAUCACAGAAAUCUGGCAUCCGAAUGUUGACAAGAAUGGUGAUGUCUGCAUUUCAAUUCUUCAUGAGCCUGGAGAAGACAAAUAUGGCUAUGAAAAACCUGAGGAACGCUGGCUUCCCAUUCACACAGUGGAAACUAUAAUGAUUAGUGUUAUUUCUAUGCUGGCAGAUCCCAAUGGUGAUUCUCCUGCUAAUGUUGAUGCAGCGAAAGAAUGGAGAGAAGACAGAAAUGGAGAAUUUAAAAGAAAAGUUGCCCGCUGUGUAAGAAAAAGCCAAGAAACUGCUUUUGAGUGACACUUAUUCAGCAGCUAGUAGCUUCACUUUUUUCAGGGUGAUGACUUUGAAUUUAUGCAUCUUCUGUUUAGAGGUCUCCAAUUGAGAAACAUGGCACUGUUUUUUUUCCUGCACUCUACCCACCUAUUGCUGGACUUCUGUUGUUACAAGUUGGCAAACACUGGCUGGAACUGGGCUGCAAUAAAACAUGCCAGUUAUCAAUGCUGACAAGAGCCUAACAAGUGCCAACACAAGAUGAUUACGCAUUUUGAAAUCUAAUGAACUGCUUUAACCUUCAGGAAGAAUUGUAAAGAUGUGUACAUAGCACAACAUGAUCCGGAUAAUAUAUAUACUGUUCAUGUACAUCCACAAAUACACAUUGUACCAAAUAAUGCUGUCUGUAGUUAGGAAUAGAAUCGUGUAAAUUCUAAAGAUUUUAGCAGGUUUUUCUCUCCCUGUUCAUUAUUUCCUAUCAGUUUAAAAAAAAAAGCAACAAAAAAACA
Falco peregrinus (peregrine falcon) is the source of this 1237-nucleotide RNA transcript. It is a transcript of the gene named ubiquitin conjugating enzyme E2 G1, with no coding region annotated. Lineage: Eukaryota; Metazoa; Chordata; Aves; Falconiformes; Falconidae. The transcript is spliced from 7 exons. The record is from RefSeq and is a predicted model, not a curated record.